CUAGCAGCUGAUUGUCCAAACGCAAUUCUUGCGAAAUUACAGAGAAAACCCAAGAAUUGUGCCUGGACAUCUGUUGCUGG
Molecule: microRNA precursor, 80 nt
Organism: Scleropages formosus (Asian bonytongue)
Lineage: Eukaryota; Metazoa; Chordata; Actinopteri; Osteoglossiformes; Osteoglossidae
Rfam family: mir-219 microRNA precursor family
About the family: The hairpin precursors (represented here) are predicted based on base pairing and cross-species conservation -- their extents are not known. In this case the mature sequence is excised from the 5' arm of the hairpin.
Source: Rfam